UCUACGGUGAGCAGCAGUGGGGAAUAUUGCACACUGGGGGAAACCCUGAUGCAGCAACGCCGCGUGAGUGAAGAAGUAUUUCGGUAUGUAAAGCUCUAUCAGCAGGGAAGAAGAUGACGGUACCUGAGUAAGAAUCCCCGGCUCACUACGUGCCAGCCGCCGCGGUAAUACGUAGGGGACAAGCGUUAUCCGGAUUUACUGGGUGUAAAGGGAGCGUAGACGGUGAGACAAGUCUGAAGUGAAAGCCCGGGGCUCAACCCCGGGACUGCUUUGGAAACUGCCUGACUGGAGUGCGGGAGAGGCAAGCGGAAUUCCGAGUGUAGCGGUGAAAUGCGUAGAUAUUAGGAAGAACACCAGUGGCGAAGGCGGCUUGCUGGACAGUAACUGACGUUGAGGCGCGAAAGCGUGGGGAGCAAACAGGAUUAGAUACCCUUGUAGUC
RNAcentral lists this ribosomal RNA (440 nucleotides) under uncultured bacterium. RNAcentral's name for it is "partial 16S ribosomal RNA". It matches the Rfam family "Bacterial small subunit ribosomal RNA", at positions 338 to 795 of the family's 1533-position model. The record is from RNAcentral.